UACAGAGGGGGCUAGCGUUGUUCGGAAUUACUGGGCGUAAAGGGCGCGUAGGCGGCUCGCCAAGUCAGGUGUGAAAUCCCGGGGCUUAACUUCGGAAUUGCACUUGAAACUAGUGAGCUUGAGGACGAGAGAGGAUAGUAGAAUUCCUAGUGUAGGAGUGAAAUCCGUAGAUAUUAGGAGGAAUACCAGUGGCGAAGGCGGCUAUCUGGCUCGUUUCUGACGCUGAGGCGCGAAAGCGUGGGGAUCAAACAGG
RNAcentral lists this ribosomal RNA (253 nucleotides) under uncultured bacterium. RNAcentral describes it as "partial 16S ribosomal RNA". It matches the Rfam family "Bacterial small subunit ribosomal RNA", at positions 524 to 776 of the family's 1533-position model. The record is from RNAcentral.